This 253-nucleotide ribosomal RNA is filed under the name uncultured bacterium. RNAcentral's name for it is "partial 16S ribosomal RNA". It matches the Rfam family "Bacterial small subunit ribosomal RNA", at positions 524 to 776 of the family's 1533-position model. The record is from RNAcentral.
UACAGGGGGAGCAAGCGUUGUUCGGAUUUACUGGGCGUAAAGGGCGCGUAGGCGGUAGCACAAGUCAGUUGUGAAAUCUCCGGGCUUAACUCGGAAAGGUCAACUGAUACUGUGCGACUAGAGUGCAGAAGGGGCAACUGGAAUUCUCGGUGUAGCGGUGAAAUGCGUAGAUAUCGAGAGGAACACCUGCGGCGAAGGCGGGUUGCUGGGCUGACACUGACGCUGAGGCGCGAAAGCCAGGGGAGCGAACGGG